CAAGCGGUGGAGCAUGUGGUUUAAUUCGAAGCUACGCGAAGAACCUUACCAGGUCUUGACAUCCCACUGACCGGUAUAGAGAUAUACCUUUCCCUUCGGGGACAGUGGUGACAGGUGGUGCAUGGUUGUCGUCAGCUCGUGUCGUGAGAUGUUGGGUUAAGUCCCGUAACGAGCGCAACCCUUGAUCUUAGUUGCCAGCAUUAAGUUGGGCACUCUAAGGUGACUGCCGGUGAUAAACCGGAGGAAGGUGGGGAUGACGUCAAAUCAUCAUGCCCCUUAUGACCUGGGCUACACACGUGCUACAAUGGAUGGUACAGAGGGUUGCCAACCCGCGAGGGGGAGCUAAUCCCAGAAAACCAUUCCCAGUUCGGAUUGCAGGCUGCAACUCGCCUGCAUGAAGCCGGAAUCGCUAGUAAUCGUGGAUCAGCAUGCCACGGUGAAUACGUUCCCGGGUCUUGUACACACC
This 466-nucleotide ribosomal RNA is filed under the name uncultured bacterium. RNAcentral's name for it is "bacterial SSU rRNA". It matches the Rfam family "Bacterial small subunit ribosomal RNA", at positions 926 to 1391 of the family's 1533-position model. The record is from RNAcentral.